UUAAUUUAUAUUAAAAAUAAUUAUAAAAUUUAAAUUUUUUAGUAUUUUAUAUUGAAAUAAUAUUUUAUUAUAAUAGUUUAUGAGUAUUGUAUAAGAAUAUUGAAAUAAUUUGAAAAAUUAUUAUUUUUAAAGAAGAUUUUAUUUAUUGUACCUUGUGUGUCAGGGGUUAUUAAAUAAUUAAAUAAUUAUUUUAUUUUUCUCGAUUUCAAAAGAUUUAAUAAAUUAUUUUAUUUAUUGUAGUAUAAAUAUUAAUAAUAGUUUAUUGGAAAUGAAACGUUAAUCGUUUUUGAAGGUAUCUAGUUUUUUUAGAAAUAAAUUUAAUUUAGUUAUUAAUUAUUGAAUUAUAUUAUUUAUUUAAUAUAAUUUUAUUUAAUAAUAAUAUAUUAUGGGAUAAGCUAUAAUAUAAAAUUUUAAAAAUUAUUAAUAUAAUUAAAAUAUAUAUGCUUAGAAUUAGCAAUUAUUAAUAAAUUUGUUAUAAUUUAUUUAUUUGUUUAUAUUAUUUAUUUAUAUUUUAAUUUUUUAUAAAAAUAUUUAUUUUAAUUUUAAAAAUAAAGUAAUAAUGAUAGUAUUAGUAUAUGAUUUAUGUUUAAAUAAUUAUUUAUGUAAGGUUUAUUUAAUUAAUUCGGCAAAUAUAAUAUUCGCCUGUUUAUCAAAAACAUGUCUUUUAGAGUUUAAUUUAAAGUCUGACCUGCCCACUGAUUUUUUAAAGGGCCGCAGUAUUUUAACUGUGCAAAGGUAGCAUAAUCAUUAGUCUUUUAAUUGAAGGCUUGUAUGAAUGGUUGGACGAGAUAUUUACUGUUUCAAAUAAAUUAUAAAUAGAAUUUUAUUUUUUAGUUAAAAAGCUAAAAUAUAAUUAAAAGACGAGAAGACCCUAUAGAUCUUUAUAGAAGUUUUUUUAUAAAUUAUUUAGAAAUGUUUGAUUUUUAUAAAUAAUCUAUUUUAUUGGGGUGAUAAUAAGAUUUAAAUAACUCUUAUAUUAUUUUUACAUUAAUAAAUGAAUAAUUGAUCCAUUUAUGAUGAUUAUUAAAUUAAGUUACCUUAGGGAUAACAGCGUAAUAUUUUUUGAGAGUUCAUAUCGAUAAAAAUGAUUGCGACCUCGAUGUUGGAUUAAGAGAUAGGUUUGGGUGUAGAAGUUCAAAUUUUAAGUCUGUUCGACUUUUAAAUUCUUACAUGAUCUGAGUUCAAACCGGUGUAAGCCAGGUUGGUUUCUAUCUUUAAUAAAAUUAUUUAUUUUAGUACGAAAGGACCAAAUAAAUGAAAUAUUAAUUUUUAUAAUUAGAAUAUU
RNAcentral lists this ribosomal RNA (1285 nucleotides) under Symphoromyia crassicornis. RNAcentral describes it as "16S ribosomal RNA". The stretch from base 854 to 1218 matches the Rfam family "Archaeal large subunit ribosomal RNA", at positions 2150 to 2716 of the family's 2987-position model. Lineage: Eukaryota; Metazoa; Arthropoda; Insecta; Diptera; Rhagionidae. The record is from RNAcentral.